RNAcentral lists this unclassified non-coding RNA (407 nucleotides) under Hevea brasiliensis (rubber tree). Lineage: Eukaryota; Viridiplantae; Streptophyta; Magnoliopsida; Malpighiales; Euphorbiaceae. The record is from RNAcentral.
GACUUUGUAUAUUAUGAUUUAUUUUGAGAUCAUAAUAAACAUGAUUUCAAUUUGAUUUAGAAUUACAAUUGAACAAGUCAAAAUUAAAACUAGAAUCGGUUAAUACAAUUAUUAAAACCAAAUCGAACCAAACAGAAUUCGUGAUAGUAUAGAGUUGACCCUAAUUUGUGGCUCACUUAAUUAUGAAAAGCAUCAAACCUAAAUACAAGAUUUGACUUGGUUCAGUCUAAUUCAAAUCACAAUUUAAAAAAGAAAAACGUGACACCCUGAAAAUCACUAUGGGGUGCUCAGGACCGAAUCAGAUUUAUCUUUAAAUUGACUCAAAAUCCCUCAAAACCGAAAUUAUGAUUUAAUGUCGUUUUGAUGGAUUGACUGAAGAACGUCCUCGAAGGGAAACAAGGAAGAAU